GAUGAAGAACGUAGCGAAAUGCGAUACUUGGUGUGAAUUGCAGAAUCCCGUGAACCAUCGAGUCUUUGAACGCAAGUUGCGCCUCAAGCCAUUAGGUUGAGGGCACGUCUGCCUUGGCGUCACAUAUCGUUGCCUGAUGCCAGUUUCCUCGUGAUGGGUGACUGUGCAGGGCGAAUGAUGGCUUCCCGUGAGCAUUGUUGCCUCAUGGUUGGUUGAAAAUUGAGUCCUUGGUAGGGAGCGCCGUGAUAGAUGGUGGUUGAGUGACGAACGAGACCCAAUCAUGUGAGACCCCUACCGAAUUUGGCCUUCAUGACCCACAUGCGUCUUUGGAACGCUCAUGACGAGACCUCAGGUCAGGCGGGGCUACCCGCUGAGUUUAAGCAUAUCAAUAAGCGGAGGA
This 400-nucleotide unclassified non-coding RNA is filed under the name soil metagenome. Its description in RNAcentral is "partial contains 5.8S ribosomal RNA, internal transcribed spacer 2, and large subunit ribosomal RNA". The stretch from base 1 to 122 matches the Rfam family "5.8S ribosomal RNA", at positions 35 to 154 of the family's 154-position model. The record is from RNAcentral.